CDSCCCUUCUGAUCUAUGCAAUCUAAGAGAUUAGACGUUCCCUUCGGGGACAUGGAUACAGGUGGUGCAUGGUUGUCGUCAGCUCGUGUCGUGAGAUGUUGGGUUAAGUCCCGCAACGAGCGCAACCCUUAUUAUCAGUUGCCAGCAUUAAGUUGGGCACUCUGGUGAGACUGCCGGUGACAAACCGGAGGAAGGUGGGGAUGACGUCAAAUCAUCAUGCCCCUUAUGACCUGGGCUACACACGUGCUACAAUGGAUGGUACAACGAGUUGCGAACUCGCGAGAGUAAGCUAAUCUCUUAAAGCCAUUCUCAGUUCGGAUUGUAGGCUGCAACUCGCCUACAUGAAGUCGGAAUCGCUAGUAAUCGCGGAUCAGCAUGCCGCGGUGAAUACGUUCCCGGGUCUUGAA
Molecule: ribosomal RNA, 407 nt
Filed under: uncultured Lactobacillus sp.
Lineage: Bacteria; Bacillati; Bacillota; Bacilli; Lactobacillales; Lactobacillaceae
Description: bacterial SSU rRNA
Rfam family: Bacterial small subunit ribosomal RNA
Source: RNAcentral